This 75-nucleotide transfer RNA is filed under the name Opitutales bacterium. RNAcentral's name for it is "tRNA-Glu". It matches the Rfam family "tRNA". Rfam says of the family: Transfer RNA (tRNA) molecules are approximately 80 nucleotides in length. Their secondary structure includes four short double-helical elements and three loops (D, anti-codon, and T loops). Further hydrogen bonds mediate the characteristic L-shaped molecular structure. tRNAs have two regions of fundamental functional importance: the anti-codon, which is responsible for specific mRNA codon recognition, and the 3' end, to which the tRNAs corresponding amino acid is attached (by aminoacyl-tRNA synthetases). tRNAs cope with the degeneracy of the genetic code in two manners: having more than one tRNA (with a specific anti-codon) for a particular amino acid; and 'wobble' base-pairing, i.e. permitting non-standard base-pairing at the 3rd anti-codon position. Lineage: Bacteria; Pseudomonadati; Verrucomicrobiota; Opitutia; Opitutales. RNAcentral also lists the same sequence under 1 other name. The record is from RNAcentral.
GCCCUGUUCGUCUAGCGGCGAGGACACCAGAUUCUCAUUCUGGAGACAGGAGUUCGAUUCUCCUACGGGGUGCCA